Molecule: non-coding RNA, 217 nt
Filed under: Picochlorum sp. RCC944
Lineage: Eukaryota; Viridiplantae; Chlorophyta; Trebouxiophyceae
Source: RNAcentral
CUCUGAGUGAAAGAAAGAAACAAGGAGGAGAAAGACGAGGUCCUUGUCAAGCGUGAGACCGCGUUGGUGUCAGUGAAGAAGAAAAAAAAGACUGCAUUCUUUUUUCAAAAAGUUUUUCUUUCUUGUUUCUUGUUUUUUUUUUUUUUGAGAAAAGCAAAAGAAAACAGAGAGACCCAAAGAGCCUUCGAUAAAGACCGGAACAGAAACGAAAAGGAGU